Molecule: ribosomal RNA, 253 nt
Filed under: uncultured bacterium
Lineage: Bacteria
Description: partial 16S ribosomal RNA
Rfam family: Bacterial small subunit ribosomal RNA
Source: RNAcentral
UACGUAGGGUGCGAGCGUUGUCCGGAAUUAUUGGGCGUAAAGAGCUCGUAGGCGGUUUGUCGCGUCGACUGUGAAAACCCGAGGCUUAACCUCGGGCCUGCAGUCGAUACGGGCAGACUAGAGUUCGGUAGGGGAGACUGGAAUUCCUGGUGUAGCGGUGAAAUGCGCAGAUAUCAGGAGGAACACCGGUGGCGAAGGCGGGUCUCUGGGCCGUAACUGACGCUGAGGAGCGAAAGCGUGGGGAGCGAACAGG